RNAcentral lists this ribosomal RNA (245 nucleotides) under uncultured Peptostreptococcus sp. RNAcentral's name for it is "partial 16S ribosomal RNA". It matches the Rfam family "Bacterial small subunit ribosomal RNA", at positions 111 to 355 of the family's 1533-position model. Lineage: Bacteria; Bacillati; Bacillota; Clostridia; Peptostreptococcales; Peptostreptococcaceae. The record is from RNAcentral.
UAACGCGUGGGUAACCUGCCCUAUACACAUGGAUAACAUACUGAAAAGUUUACUAAUACAUGAUAAUAUAUAUUUACGGCAUCGUAGAUGCAUCAAAGUGUUAGCGGUAUAGGAUGGACCCGCGUCUGAUUAGCUAGUUGGUGAGAUAACUGCCCACCAAGGCGACGAUCAGUAGCCGACCUGAGAGGGUGAUCGGCCACAUUGGAACUGAGACACGGUCCAAACUCCUACGGGAGGCAGCAGUA